GGAUGUGAGGGUGAUCUGGCUGCAACAUCUAUCACCCCAUUGAUCGCUAGGGUUAAUUUAGCUGAUCUGGCUGGCUAGGCAGGUGUCCCCUUCCUCCCUCACCACUCCAUGCACGUCCCUCCCAAAGCUGCAGGGUCGGUUACAGGCUUCCCUGAAUAGAGAUGAACUGGUGUUCAGUCAAGGGUAUAUGGUCAAGGGUAGCUGCACUCCCCUACUAGAAUCUCCAAACAAGUUCUCAAGAAAUAGAACCUCUGUGAGGCCAACCAACUAGCCAAGAGGGUCACAGCCAGUCAGU
Molecule: unclassified non-coding RNA, 295 nt
Organism: Erinaceus europaeus (western European hedgehog)
Lineage: Eukaryota; Metazoa; Chordata; Mammalia; Eulipotyphla; Erinaceidae
Gene: 7SK
Rfam family: 7SK RNA
About the family: 7SK was discovered as an abundant small nuclear RNA in the mid-70s but a possible function has only recently been suggested. Two independent studies have found that 7SK RNA binds the CDK9/cyclin T complex (known as elongation factor P-TEFb). P-TEFb activates transcription by phosphorylating the C-terminal domain of RNA polymerase II.
Source: Ensembl